RNAcentral lists this ribosomal RNA (498 nucleotides) under uncultured bacterium. RNAcentral's name for it is "partial 16S ribosomal RNA". It matches the Rfam family "Bacterial small subunit ribosomal RNA", at positions 29 to 523 of the family's 1533-position model. The record is from RNAcentral.
AUUGAACGCUGGCGGCAUGCUUUACACAUGCAAGUCGAACGGUAACAGGCCGCAAGGUGCUGACGAGUGGCGAACGGGUGAGUAAUGCAUCGGAACGUGCCCAGUCGUGGGGGAUAACGCAGCGAAAGCUGUGCUAAUACCGCAUACGAUCCAUGGAUGAAAGCGGGGGACCGUAAGGCCUCGCGCGAUUGGAGCGGCCGAUGUCAGAUUAGGUAGUUGGUGGGGGACAGGCCUACCAAGCCGACGAUCUGUAGCAGGUCUGAGAGGACGACCGGCCACAAGGGGACUGAGACACGGGCCAGACUCCUGCGGGAGGCAGCAGUGGGGAAUUUUGGACGUUGGGCGCACGCCUGUUCCAGCAAUGACGGGUGCAGGAAGAAGGCCUUCGGGUUGUAAACUGCUUUUUUACGGAACGAAACGGGCUGGGUUAAUACCCUGGGUUAAUGACGUUACCGUAAGCAUAAGCACCGGAUAACUACGUGCCAGCCGCCGCAGUAA